This 465-nucleotide ribosomal RNA is filed under the name uncultured bacterium. RNAcentral describes it as "partial 16S ribosomal RNA". It matches the Rfam family "Bacterial small subunit ribosomal RNA", at positions 338 to 795 of the family's 1533-position model. The record is from RNAcentral.
CCUACGGGAGGCAGCAGUAGGGAAUCUUCCACAAUGGGCGAAAGCCUGAUGGAGCAACGCCGCGUGGGUGAAGGAGGUCUUCGGCACGUAAAACCCUGUUGGUAGAGAAGAAAGUGCGUGAGAGUAACUGUUCACGUUUCGACGGUAUCUAACCCGAAAGCCACGGCUAACUGCGUGCCAGGAGCCGCGGGAAUACGUAGGGGGCCAGCGGUAUCCGGAUUUAUUGGGGGGAAAGGGAACGGAGGAGGUCUUAGAAGUCCGAUGUGAAAGCCUUGGGCUUAACCGGUGUAGUGCAUUGGAAACUGGGAGACUUGAGUGCAGAAGAGGAGAGUGGAACUCCAUGUGUAGCGGUGAAAUGCGUAGAUAUAAGGAAGAACACCAGUGGCGAAGGCGGCUUUCUGGUCUGUAACUGACGCUGAGGUUCGAAAGCGUGGGUAGCGAACAGGAUUAGAUACCCAUGUAGUC